GACGAACGCUGGCGGCGUGCUUAACACAUGCAAGUCGAACGAUGAAGCGGUGCUUGCACCGUGGAUUAGUGGCGAACGGGUGAGUAAUACGUGAGUGACCUACCUUUGACUCUGGGAUAAGCCUGGGAAACUGGGUCUAAUACCGGAUACGACCAAUCUCUGCAUGGGGUGUUGGUGGAAAGCGUUAUGGAGUGGUUUUAGAUGGGCUCACGGCCUAUCAGCUUGUUGGUGAGGCAAUGGCUUACCAAGGCGACGACGGGUAGCCGGCCUGAGAGGGUGACCGGCCACACUGGGACUGAGACACGGCCCAGACUCCUACGGGAGGCAGCAGUGAGGAAUAUUGCACAAUGGGCGCAAGCCUGAUGCAGCGACGCCGCGUGAGGGAUGACGGCCUUCGGGUUGUAAACCUCUGUUAGCAUCGAAGAAGCGAAAGUGACGGUAGGUGCAGAGAAAGCGCCGGCUAACUACGUGCCAGCAGCCGCGGUAAUACGUAGGGCGCGAGCGUUGUCCGGAAUUAUUGGGCGUAAAGAGCUUGUAGGCGGUUGGUCGCGUCUGCUGUGAAGGCCGGGGCUUAAUUCCGGUUUUGCAGUGGGUACGGGCUAACUAGAGUGCAGUAGGGGAGACUGGAAUUCCUGGUGUAGCGGUGGAAUGCACAGAUAUCAGGAGGAACACCGAUGGCGAAGGCAGGUCUCUGGGCUGUAACUGACGCUGAGAAGCGAAAGCAUGGGGAGCGAACAGGAUUAGAUACCCUGGUAGUCCAUGCCGUAAACGUUGGGCACUAGGUGUGGGGGACAUUCCACGUUUUCCGCGCCGUAGCUAACGCAUUAAGUGCCCCGCCUGGGGAGUGCGGCCGCAAGGCUAAAACUCAAAGGAAUUGACGGGGGCCCGCACAAGCGGCGGAGCAUGCGGAUUAAUUCGAUGCAACGCGAAGAACCUUACCAAGGCUUGACAUGCAUUAGAUCGCAUCAGAGAUGGCGUUUCCCUUCGGGGCUGGUGUACAGGUGGUGCAUGGUUGUCGUCAGCUCGUGUCGUGAGAUGUUGGGUUAAGUCCCGCAACGAGCGCAACCCUCGUUCUAUGUUGCCAGCGGUUCGGCCGGGGACUCAUAGGAGACUGCCGGGGUCAACUCGGAGGAAGGUGGGGAUGACGUCAAAUCAUCAUGCCCCUUAUGUCUUGGGCUUCACGCAUGCUACAAUGGCCGGUACAGAGGGUUGCGAUACUGUGAGGUGGAGCUAAUCCCUUAAAGCCGGUCUCAGUUCGGAUUGGGGUCUGCAACUCGACCCCAUGAAGUCGGAGUCGCUAGUAAUCGCAGAUCAGCAACGCUGCGGUGAAUACGUUCCCGGGCCU
RNAcentral lists this ribosomal RNA (1345 nucleotides) under uncultured bacterium. RNAcentral's name for it is "bacterial SSU rRNA". It matches the Rfam family "Bacterial small subunit ribosomal RNA", at positions 28 to 1381 of the family's 1533-position model. The record is from RNAcentral.